RNAcentral lists this ribosomal RNA (252 nucleotides) under uncultured bacterium. RNAcentral's name for it is "partial 16S ribosomal RNA". It matches the Rfam family "Bacterial small subunit ribosomal RNA", at positions 524 to 776 of the family's 1533-position model. The record is from RNAcentral.
UACGUAUGGUGCAAGCGUUGUCCGGAAUUACUGGGCGUAAAGAGUUCGUAGGCGGGAAUGUCAGUCAGAAGUGAAAGGCAAUGGCUCAACCAUUGUAAGCUUUUGAAACUGCAUUUCUUGAGUAUCGGAGAGGAAAGUGGAAUUCCUAGUGUAGCGGUGAAAUGCGUAGAUAUUAGGAGGAACACCAGUGGCGAAGGCGACUUUCUGGACGAAAACUGACGCUGAGGAACGAAAGCGUGGGGAGCAAACAGG